GCUUUGAUAGUUUAACUAAAAACUUCGGUCUUGUAAACCGAGAAUGAAAUUUUUUUCUCAAAACA
This 65-nucleotide transfer RNA is filed under the name Plesionika ortmanni. RNAcentral describes it as "tRNA-Thr". It matches the Rfam family "tRNA". Rfam says of the family: Transfer RNA (tRNA) molecules are approximately 80 nucleotides in length. Their secondary structure includes four short double-helical elements and three loops (D, anti-codon, and T loops). Further hydrogen bonds mediate the characteristic L-shaped molecular structure. tRNAs have two regions of fundamental functional importance: the anti-codon, which is responsible for specific mRNA codon recognition, and the 3' end, to which the tRNAs corresponding amino acid is attached (by aminoacyl-tRNA synthetases). tRNAs cope with the degeneracy of the genetic code in two manners: having more than one tRNA (with a specific anti-codon) for a particular amino acid; and 'wobble' base-pairing, i.e. permitting non-standard base-pairing at the 3rd anti-codon position. The record is from RNAcentral. Lineage: Eukaryota; Metazoa; Arthropoda; Malacostraca; Decapoda; Pandalidae.